Molecule: ribosomal RNA, 516 nt
Filed under: Vaejovis vorhiesi group sp. RWB-2013
Lineage: Eukaryota; Metazoa; Arthropoda; Arachnida; Scorpiones; Vaejovidae
Description: eukaryotic LSU rRNA
Rfam family: Eukaryotic large subunit ribosomal RNA
Source: RNAcentral
GACCAAGGAGUCUAACAUGUGCGCGAGUCGUCGGGUCUUGAAUAGGCCCGCAGGCGCAAUGAAAGUGAAGGGCGACCCUGUUGUCGUCUGCGUUGGGAUCCUCAGACCACUGCGUCUGGGGCGCACCAACGGCCCGUCCCGUCYGCAGCGUCGGUGGGACGGAGCGAGAGCGUACACGUUGGGACCCGAAAGAUGGUGAACUAUGCCUGGGCAGGACGAGGCCAGAGGAAACUCUGGUGGAGGUCCGCAGCGAUUCUGACGUGCAAAUCGAUCGUCAGACCUGGGUAUAGGGGCGAAAGACUAAUCGAACCGUCUAGUAGCUGGUUCCCUCCGAAGUUUCCCUCAGGAUAGCUGGCGCUCGAGGGAGUCAGUCUCAUCCGGUAAAGCGAAUGAUUAGAGGCCUUGGGGCCGAAACGACCUCAACCUAUUCUCAAACUUUCAAUGGGUGAGAAGUCCGGUUUACAUGACUGAAGCCCGGACAAUUCUCAGGAUGCGAGUGCCCAGUGGGCCACUUUU